GAUGAAGAACGUAGCGAAAUGCGAUACUUGGUGUGAAUUGCAGAAUCCCGUGAACCAUCGAGUCUUUGAACGCAAGUUGCGCACGAAGCCACUAGGCCGAGGGCACGCCUGCCUGGGCGUCACACGCCGUUGCCCCCCCAUCUACUCCUUCGGGAUUGCGGGGGGGCGGAUGAUGGCCUCCUGUGCGCCUAGCCGCGCGGUUGGCAUAAAUACCAAGUCCUCGGCGACGCACGCCACGACAAUCGGUGGUUGCGAAACCUCGGUUGCCCGUCGUGUGCGUUCGUCGCGCAUCGAGGGCUCGAAAAAAUGCUCGGCUCCGGCUGGGCUUUCAACGCGACCCCAGGUCAGGCGGGGUUACCCGCUGAAUUUAAGCAUAUCAAUAAGCGGAGGA
This 391-nucleotide unclassified non-coding RNA is filed under the name soil metagenome. Its description in RNAcentral is "partial contains 5.8S ribosomal RNA, internal transcribed spacer 2, and large subunit ribosomal RNA". The stretch from base 1 to 122 matches the Rfam family "5.8S ribosomal RNA", at positions 35 to 154 of the family's 154-position model. The record is from RNAcentral.